This 568-nucleotide small RNA is filed under the name Pongo abelii (Sumatran orangutan). Its description in RNAcentral is "processed transcript". Lineage: Eukaryota; Metazoa; Chordata; Mammalia; Primates; Hominidae. The record is from RNAcentral.
GUUCCUCUGCUGCAGCAUGAAAGGGUUGCAUGCUGCCAACUGCCCCACAUCUGCUGCAAGGAGGCCCUGCUGUUUAUGGGGACUGACGCCCACUACAUAGCUGACCUUGCUCUGUCUCUUCUCUACGAAUCCACUGUGAAGAAGACGUCAAUGAAUGUUUUUCAAACCCUUGCCAAAAUGGUGGCACUUGUGAGAACUUGCCUGGGAAUUAUACUUGCCAUUGCCCAUUUGAUAACCUUUCUAGAACUUUUUAUGGAGGAAGGGACUGUUCUGCUAUUCUCCUGGGCUGUACCCAUCAGCAAUGUCUAAAUAAUGGAACAUGCAUCCCUCACUUCCAAGAUGGCCAGCAUGGAUUCAGCUGCCUGUGUCCAUCUGGCUACACCGGGUCCCUGUGUGAAAUCGCAACCACACUUUCAUUUGAGGGCGAUGGCUUCCUGUGGGUCAAAAGUGGGUCAGUGACAACCAAGGGCUCAGUUUGUAACAUAGCCCUCAGGUUUCAGACUGUUCAGCCAAUGGCUCUUCUACUUUUCCGAAGCAACAGGGAUGUGUUUGUGAAGCUGGAGCUGCU